This 2288-nucleotide ribosomal RNA is filed under the name Salmonella enterica subsp. enterica serovar Newport. RNAcentral's name for it is "partial 23S ribosomal RNA". It matches the Rfam family "Bacterial large subunit ribosomal RNA", at positions 670 to 2852 of the family's 2925-position model. Lineage: Bacteria; Pseudomonadati; Pseudomonadota; Gammaproteobacteria; Enterobacterales; Enterobacteriaceae. The record is from RNAcentral.
AGGGAAACCGAGUCUUAAUUGGGCGUUAAGUUGCAGGGUAUAGACCCGAAACCCGGUGAUCUAGCCAUGGGCAGGUUGAAGGUUGGGUAACACUAACUGGAGGACCGAACCGACUAAUGUUGAAAAAUUAGCGGAUGACCUGUGGCUGGGGGUGAAAGGCCAAUCAAACCGGGAGAUAGCUGGUUCUCCCCGAAAGCUAUUUAGGUAGCGCCUCGUGAAUUCAUCUCCGGGGGUAGAGCACUGUUUCGGCUAGGGGGCCAUCCCGGCUUACCAACCCGAUGCAAACUGCGAAUACCGGAGAAUGUUAUCACGGGAGACACACGGCGGGUGCUAACGUCCGUCGUGAAGAGGGAAACAACCCAGACCGCCAGCUAAGGUCCCAAAGUCAUGGUUAAGUGGGAAACGAUGUGGGAAGGCCCAGACAGCCAGGAUGUUGGCUUAGAAGCAGCCAUCAUUUAAAGAAAGCGUAAUAGCUCACUGGUCGAGUCGGCCUGCGCGGAAGAUGUAACGGGGCUAAACCAUGCACCGAAGCUGCGGCAGCGAACGUAUCACUUAAAGCGAUUCAGCGGGUUACGAUUGACGGAGCGAAGCGACGUCAAAGCGUAUACAAAGUCGAGUCGGUUUAAGGAUACGUUCGUUGGGUAGGGGAGCGUUCUGUAAGCCUGUGAAGGUGGCCUGUGAGGGUUGCUGGAGGUAUCAGAAGUGCGAAUGCUGACAUAAGUAACGAUAAAGCGGGUGAAAAGCCCGCUCGCCGGAAGACCAAGGGUUCCUGUCCAACGUUAAUCGGGGCAGGGUGAGUCGACCCCUAAGGCGAGGCCGAAAGGCGUAGUCGAUGGGAAACGGGUUAAUAUUCCCGUACUUGGUGUUACUGCGAAGGGGGGACGGAGAAGGCUAUGUUGGCCGGGCGACGGUUGUCCCGGUUUAAGCGUGUAGGUGUGUGUUCCAGGUAAAUCCGGUUCACUUUAACACUGAGGCGUGACGACGAGGCACUACGGUGCUGAAGCAACAAAUGCCCUGCUUCCAGGAAAAGCCUCUAAGCAUCAGGUAACAUCAAAUCGUACCCCAAACCGACACAGGUGGUCAGGUAGAGAAUACCAAGGCGCUUGAGAGAACUCGGGUGAAGGAACUAGGCAAAAUGGUGCCGUAACUUCGGGAGAAGGCACGCUGACACGUAGGUGAAGUGAUUUACUCACGGAGCUGAAGUCAGUCGAAGAUACCAGCUGGCUGCAACUGUUUAUUAAAAACACAGCACUGUGCAAACACGAAAGUGGACGUAUACGGUGUGACGCCUGCCCGGUGCCGGAAGGUUAAUUGAUGGGGUCAGCGCAAGCGAAGCUCCUGAUCGAAGCCCCGGUAAACGGCGGCCGUAACUAUAACGGUCCUAAGGUAGCGAAAUUCCUUGUCGGGUAAGUUCCGACCUGCACGAAUGGCGUAAUGAUGGCCAGGCUGUCUCCACCCGAGACUCAGUGAAAUUGAACUCGCUGUGAAGAUGCAGUGUACCCGCGGCAAGACGGAAAGACCCCGUGAACCUUUACUAUAGCUUGACACUGAACAUUGAGCCUUGAUGUGUAGGAUAGGUGGGAGGCUUUGAAGUGUGGACGCCAGUCUGCAUGGAGCCGACCUUGAAAUACCACCCUUUAAUGUUUGAUGUUCUAACGUGGACCCGUAAUCCGGGUUGCGGACAGUGUCUGGUGGGUAGUUUGACUGGGGCGGUCUCCUCCUAAAGAGUAACGGAGGAGCACGAAGGUUGGCUAAUCCUGGUCGGACAUCAGGAGGUUAGUGCAAUGGCAUAAGCCAGCUUGACUGCGAGCGUGACGGCGCGAGCAGGUGCGAAAGCAGGUCAUAGUGAUCCGGUGGUUCUGAAUGGAAGGGCCAUCGCUCAACGGAUAAAAGGUACUCCGGGGAUAACAGGCUGAUACCGCCCAAGAGUUCAUAUCGACGGCGGUGUUUGGCACCUCGAUGUCGGCUCAUCACAUCCUGGGGCUGAAGUAGGUCCCAAGGGUAUGGCUGUUCGCCAUUUAAAGUGGUACGCGAGCUGGGUUUAGAACGUCGUGAGACAGUUCGGUCCCUAUCUGCCGUGGGCGCUGGAGAACUGAGGGGGGCUGCUCCUAGUACGAGAGGACCGGAGUGGACGCAUCACUGGUGUUCGGGUUGUCAUGCCAAUGGCACUGCCCGGUAGCUAAAUGCGGAAGAGAUAAGUGCUGAAAGCAUCUAAGCACGAAACUUGCCCCGAGAUGAGUUCUCCCUGAGACUUAGAGUCUCCUGAAGGAACGUUGAAGACGACGACG